Long non-coding RNA from Magallana angulata, 576 nucleotides. RefSeq lists it as uncharacterized. NCBI's taxonomy places the organism in Eukaryota, Metazoa, Mollusca, Bivalvia, Ostreida, Ostreidae. The transcript is spliced from 2 exons. The record is from RefSeq and is a predicted model, not a curated record.
AUCACUGUUCAUAUCGAACACACCCGAUUUUAUUUUUCCCAUAAUUCUUUGCAACGUGCUUGGCCGACGCUAACAAUAGGCGCUAAGUUAUACCCGGCCGAGCUGUCCAGCGAUAAAGACGUGCUUAGUGUUAGAAGGGGGUAUCGUGGUAGAAGCCUGUGUGGCAUGUUUUAGUUUCACAAGUUCAGCAUUUGACGCGGACACGGAUAGCUGACCGUGUGUCAUAUUGUUGAUGUUGAGAAGAUGAUGAUGUUAUGGUGAUGACGAUGAUGUCUUUUGUGAUUAUGGUGUUGUAGGCGAUGGUGUUGACGAUAGUGUCGAUGAUUAUGAUGGCGAUGGUGAUGAUGAUGAUUGUGGUGACGAAACUACUCUAGUUGUGGUUGUCCGUAGUUGGUCCAGGACUACAGCCCCGGAGAUUCGGACACUCUUCUAAUUUAUUUUUGGUCAUUUGUAUAAACAUCAUAUUUUUUCUUGUUGAGUGAAAGUUGUGUGAGUGUUUGUGUGGUUUAGUGUUUAUAUUUCUAUCUUUUCUUUCUUUCUCUUAUUUUUUUUGUUAUUAAAUUUUGUUAAAUUUAA